Molecule: long non-coding RNA, 1062 nt
Organism: Fundulus heteroclitus (mummichog)
Lineage: Eukaryota; Metazoa; Chordata; Actinopteri; Cyprinodontiformes; Fundulidae
Exons: 4
Source: RefSeq, a predicted model, not a curated record
AAUAUUAUGUACUACAAAUAUAUUAGAUAUUAACUUACAACUCCUCAUAAUUGGAGCCCUCUGUUUCAGGUUCCCAGUCAUGGUCAUCCACAUCACAUUUCUAAAAACCAAUCCUUGUCCAGGCAAGUUGUCAGGAUUGUGGGUAUAUAUUCAGGGCAGAAGACGAAUUUCUUCUUUUAAGGCUUGUGAAACAGUUGCGACAAAAGUCACAAUUGAGAGUUUUUUCUCCUUUUGCAGCCAUUUUAAUCUUAUUACGUAUACAUCUUGCCUUCCAAUAGGUAGGCAAAUUUACCUAGGUUACUUUUGAAACUUUUUAUCUACAUCUUUCAAACCACAACAAAGUAAGGUUCACAUUUUAACUUCUAAUGAAUGUUUUUAUCAUAUAUACAUCACUUUGUUUUCUUUUACAAACUCUCCCUAGUUAACCACUUGCCAUGUGAUUGUUCCUAAAUAUUUCAGAGAAAAAUGAGACAUAAAAGGGUUUGUCCAGAAACAGAAGCUUUGCAUUUCACUUCUUCUGGGAGGGAUAAAGACACAUUUUACAAAAGAUUCAUCAACAAGGAGAAAGGACCAACUCCAUUCAUCGCAUAGCAGUCCACAACUACCAGAAAAGAUCUCACAGACAUCUCACAGAGUGUUAUCUGUGUUUACCCAGAAAUGACUGACACUCACCUGAGUCACAUUCCAGAGGAAUUAUGCAUUGGUGAAAUGAUCCAGUCAGAGCAGAAAAAUGUUCCAGGAGAACAAACAGAACAACACCAUGAAGUAAAAAACCAAGGACAAGAUACACAUACAGACAUACUCUGUUCAUCACAUACCAGUACACAAACAACAGAUGAGAUGGAUAACUUAGAGAGUAUACUCAGUAUUCACCAAGAAAUGACUGGCACUAACCUGAGGGAUGAGUAUUUAUAAACAUGUUGCAGCUCAAGAGGAGUAUUGCGACUCAGAUGCAGAUGUCCAGUCUGUGCAGAGUACUACCACAUGUCAAGAAGGCAAGAUCUUAGGUUGCAUGCAGUGUAUAACACUAACAAUGUAAAUUACUUUAUUCAACUAUAAAAA